RNAcentral lists this small nuclear RNA (163 nucleotides) under Mus spicilegus (steppe mouse). Its description in RNAcentral is "U1 spliceosomal RNA (ENSMSIG00000020162.1)". It matches the Rfam family "U1 spliceosomal RNA". Rfam says of the family: U1 is a small nuclear RNA (snRNA) component of the spliceosome (involved in pre-mRNA splicing). Lineage: Eukaryota; Metazoa; Chordata; Mammalia; Rodentia; Muridae. The record is from RNAcentral.
AUAUUGCCUGGCAGGAAAGAGAUGAUUAUCAUGCAACUGACAUUCCUGGGGUGGGGCUUAUCCAUUGCUUUCCAGAUGUGCUAACCCUGUGAUUUCCCCAGCUGUGAGGCACUCAGCUACAUUUUUGCAGUAGUAGGGAAACAGCAUUCAUCCUCUCUCCUAU